Molecule: ribosomal RNA, 595 nt
Filed under: uncultured Bacteroidota bacterium
Lineage: Bacteria; Pseudomonadati; Bacteroidota
Description: bacterial SSU rRNA
Rfam family: Bacterial small subunit ribosomal RNA
Source: RNAcentral
CAACCUGCCCACCACUUGGGGAUAACCUUGCGAAAGUAAGACUAAUACCCAAUGAUAUCUCUAGAAGACAUCUGAAAGGGAUUAAAGAUUCAUCGGUGAUGGAUGGGGAUGCGUCUGAUUAGCUUGUUGGCGGGGUAACGGCCCACCAAGGCGACGAUCAGUAGGGGUUCUGAGAGGAAGGUCCCCCACAUUGGAACUGAGACACGGUCCAAACUCCUACGGGAGGCAGCAGUGAGGAAUAUUGGUCAAUGGACGAGAGUCUGAACCAGCCAAGUAGCGUGCAGGAUGACGGCCCUAUGGGUUGUAAACUGCUUUUAUAAGGGAAUAAAGUGAGUCUCGUGAGACUUUUUGCAUGUACCUUAUGAAUAAGGACCGGCUAAUUCCGUGCCAGCAGCCGCGGUAAUACGGAAGGUCCGGGCGUUAUCCGGAUUUAUUGGGUUUAAAGGGAGCGUAGGCCGGAGAUUAAGCGUGUUGUGAAAUGUAGACGCUCAACGUCUGCACUGCAGCGCGAACUGGUUUCCUUGAGUACGCACAAAGUGGGCGGAAUUCGUGGUGUAGCGGUGAAAUGCUUAGAUAUCACGAAGAACUCCGAUUG